This is a long non-coding RNA of Drosophila biarmipes, 613 nucleotides long. RefSeq lists it as uncharacterized. Lineage: Eukaryota; Metazoa; Arthropoda; Insecta; Diptera; Drosophilidae. The transcript has 3 exons. The record is from RefSeq and is a predicted model, not a curated record.
GGACGUUGGAGUUGUGAGGCUGCCAAAGGGGUUUUGGUGGGGGACCGCCGACGGUAAGUGCUGAGGCGGUAACUCCGCUCCCCUCAGACUGAACUACCGAACAUACUUGAGUCCAACAUCUAUGUCAGCAGGUUAACAUCGUUCUGUUUGUAAUUUUACAUUUCUCCGCAAAAAAUUGAUCCCGAUUAUGAGCCUUAUAUCUCCCAUGCAGUUUCACAAUUCAGCUUAAGCGCGCAAUUAGCACAAAGUCGACUGUGACGUCGGCAGAUUUAACCAGUGAAUUAUCAAAAUUAUAAGCCUACCGCAGACUCAUACUUUUGAAACAGUGAAAGUAGAAACAAUUAUUGUAAAUUAAAUAAGGGGAAUACAGGCUUUCCAAACACACAGCGCACAAAAAAAAUAAGCCACCAUGCUGAGGCCCCACAAAAAAUGUCCUUGAGCCGCUUCAAAAGUCAAAAUACAGGGCCUAGAAAAAAGCCGCCAGGACUACAAAAUUAACCAAAUAUAAUUUUUAAAUGUCAAAAGUUCCUUACUACUUCUAUUAAUGUCUAUAUAAUCGUUUAUAAUUGUCGAUGUAGAAUAAAAACUAGCUAAAUAAAUGGGACCCUCUGAA